RNAcentral lists this ribosomal RNA (274 nucleotides) under uncultured bacterium. Its description in RNAcentral is "partial 16S ribosomal RNA". It matches the Rfam family "Bacterial small subunit ribosomal RNA", at positions 523 to 796 of the family's 1533-position model. The record is from RNAcentral.
AUACGGAGGGUGCAAGCGUUGUUCGGAAUUACUGGGCGUAAAGCGCGCGUAGGUGGUCUGUUAUGUCAGAUGUGAAAGUCCACGGCUCAACCGUGGAAGUGCAUUUGAAACUGGCAGACUUGAGUACUGGAGGGGGUAGUGGAAUUCCCGGUGUAGAGGUGAAAUUCGUAGAUAUCGGGAGGAAUACCGGUGGCGAAGGCGACUACCUGGCCAGAUACUGACACUGAGGUGCGCAAGCGUGGGGAGCGAACAGGAUUAGAUACCCGGGUAGUCC